GUGAAUGACGGGGCAGCGGGCGGGGUGAUGCUGUGGAUGCAUGCGUUGUUCGGAAUUACUGUGCGUAAAGAGGGUGUGGGCGGGUCUCUAUGUUCGGUUGGAAAUCGCCCGGCUUAACUGGGAGGGUGCGCCGAAAACUGGAGGGCUCGAGUAUGGGAGGGGAAAGCGGAAUUCCUGGUGUAGCGGUGAAAUGCGUAGAUAUCAGGAGGAACACCUGCGGUGUAGACGGCUUUCUGGACCAUCACUGACGCUGAGACACGAAAGCGUGGGGAGCAAACAGGAUUCGAUACCCUUGUAGUC
Molecule: ribosomal RNA, 300 nt
Filed under: uncultured Anaerolinea sp.
Lineage: Bacteria; Bacillati; Chloroflexota; Anaerolineae; Anaerolineales; Anaerolineaceae
Description: bacterial SSU rRNA
Rfam family: Bacterial small subunit ribosomal RNA
Source: RNAcentral